GCUUGCUUGUUGGGGUUGUAGGACACUCUAUACGGAGUUACAAAGGACGACAUUAGACGAAUCAUCUGGAAAGAUGAAUCAAAGAAGGUAAUAAUCCUGUAGUCGAAAAUGUUGUCUCUCUUGAGUGGAUCCUGAGUACGACGGAGCACGUGAAAUUCCGUCGGAAUCUGGGAGGACCAUCUCCUAAGGCUAAAUACUCUCUAGUGACCGAUAGUGAACCAGUACCGUGAGGGAAAGGUGAAAAGCACCCCGGAAGGGGAGUGAAAUAGAACCUGAAACCGUGUGCUUACAAGUAGUCAGAGCCCGUUAAUGGGUGAUGGCGUGCCUUUUGUAGAAUGAACCGGCGAGUUACGAUUUGAUGCAAGGUUAAGCAGUAAAUGUGGAGCCGUAGCGAAAGCGAGUCUGAAUAGGGCGUUUAGUAUUUGGUCGUAGACCCGAAACCAGGUGAUCUACCCUUGGUCAGGUUGAAGUUCAGGUAACACUGAAUGGAGGACCGAACCGACUUACGUUGAAAAGUGAGCGGAUGAACUGAGGGUAGCGGAGAAAUUCCAAUCGAACCUGGAGAUAGCUGGUUCUCUCCGAAAUAGCUUUAGGGCUAGCCUCAAGUGAUGAUUAUUGGAGGUAGAGCACUGUUUGGACGAGGGGCCCCUCUCGGGUUACCGAAUUCAGACAAACUCCGAAUGCCAAUUAAUUUAACUUGGGAGUCAGAACAUGGGUGAUAAGGUCCGUGUUCGAAAGGGAAACAGCCCAGACCACCAGCUAAGGUCCCAAAAUAUAUGUUAAGUGGAAAAGGAUGUGGCGUUGCCCAGACAACUAGGAUGUUGGCUUAGAAGCAGCCAUCAUUUAAAGAGUGCGUAAUAGCUCACUAGUCGAGUGACACUGCGCCGAAAAUGUACCGGGGCUAAACAUAUUACCGAAGCUGUGGAUUGUCCUUUGGACAAUGGUAGGAGAGCGUUCUAAGGGCGUUGAAGCAUGAUCGUAAGGACAUGUGGAGCGCUUAGAAGUGAGAAUGCCGGUGUGAGUAGCGAAAGACGGGUGAGAAUC
Molecule: ribosomal RNA, 1044 nt
Filed under: Staphylococcus aureus
Lineage: Bacteria; Bacillati; Bacillota; Bacilli; Caryophanales; Staphylococcaceae
Description: partial 23S ribosomal RNA
Rfam family: Bacterial large subunit ribosomal RNA
Source: RNAcentral